Toxorhynchites rutilus septentrionalis is the source of this 4370-nucleotide RNA transcript. It is a transcript of the gene named YTH domain-containing protein 1, with no coding region annotated. Lineage: Eukaryota; Metazoa; Arthropoda; Insecta; Diptera; Culicidae. The transcript is spliced from 5 exons. The record is from RefSeq and is a predicted model, not a curated record.
UGAACCAAAGCAAAAGUGUGAAAAACCAUAUACAGCUAGAUGAGCAGGAGCAGGAGAAAGAAAAUUCGAUUUUAUGUGUAAUGUGUGGUGGUGGCGAAAGAAAGCAAACGCACAAGAAGUGUUCGGACUUUGCGGUGAAAUUUCAGGUGCAAAACCUUUCUCGAACGGGAUAAAUUUGUGCGCAAAAGUGAAUUCGCUAUUUGAGACAGACUGACAGCACUGCCAAAUUGUUGCUGCUACAGUUAUACGGCCAGUCAGCAGAGAGAGACUGUUGUGUUGUGAGUGUUUAGACGGGGAAACGCCGCUUUCGUGUGUGCGCGUCGUCCCGGGUCAUAAUUUGUUUGUGUACUUCGUUUGUGUGUGAGAUAGAACGACGCAGAGGAAAAGAGGAGAGAUAGUCUACCGAAAAAAUGGCCGAUCUCGAUGCAGUGAAUCUCGGCCUGGACGAAACUGAGCGAGAUAUAGCGGAAGAGUUGGAGAAUAGCUACGAUACGCGCAGUGAGGCUUCCGGUGCGAGUUCCGACAGUACUACCACUAAUCCCAGCAUCAGUGAGGUCAGUUCGGAUUCGUCGGACGAAGACGAUGAUGAUGAUACCGAGCGGAGGAAUUCUGCCAACAAGAAGCAACAGCAGAAAAAGAAAAACAAAAAGAAAGAUGAGAAACAGUCCAAGAAGGAUGCGGAAAAAGACAGCGCAAAUGGAGGGGGUGCGGUCAACGCGAAUAACAGUACCAAGAAGGAGCGGAAAUCUCGCAGCCGGAGCCCACAGACAGCAUCUUCCGUCACCGAGACGAAACGAAAUCGGACCAAGAACAGUUCCGUGAAAAACUCAGUUAAAUCCUACGAUUAUGUUACUAAAAUCAACUAUUUAUUCCGAGAGACGAGAUUUUUCCUUAUAAAAUCGAACAACACGGAAAAUGUUACAAUUUCCAAGACAAAAGGGGUCUGGUCUACUUUACCCCCGAACGAAGCUAAUCUGAAUCAGGCUUUCCGCGAAAGUCGCAAUGUUAUAUUGGUGUUUUCAGUGAAGGAAAGCGGCAAAUUCGCCGGCUUUGCCCGAAUGGCAGCUGAAGCUCGGCGCGAUUUACCGGCCGUAGAGUGGGUACUUCCGCCCGGUAUGUCUGCGAAAGCGCUCGGAGGUGUUAUCAAAAUUGAUUGGGUGUGCAAAAAAGAACUACCAUUCACCACUACUACCCAUUUAUAUAAUCCGUGGAACGAAAAUAAACCGGUGAAAAUUGGUCGCGAUGGCCAGGAGAUCGAAUCGAAAGUAGCCGAAGAGUUGUGCAGAUUGUUCCCGGAGGAUACUUCAGUCGAAAUGACUCCGAUUCUGAAGAAAUCGAAAGAAGCUUCGAAGCAAAUGAAGGAAAAGGCAGCCUCCAAGUCAUUCCGGCGUCAGCCAAAUUUCUCUCGUCCGUCAAGUUCUACGCGUGGUCGCGGUGGACUUGGUAGCGGUAACGGUGGUGGUCCGAUACGAGGAGGCCGUAGGAAGAUUUUCCACGGCAAAGGACGUCCGCCAAUGUUCGCACCGUAUCGUAAAGAUAGCCGCCGUGGACACGGACCAAGGCUGCCUCCAGGGAUGGAUCGUGCUGCUGCGGCAGCAGCGGCUGCCAGUGCCGCUGGUUUUCACGGAUGGGAACGUUACAGCAGUACUGCUGCAGCCGAGGCGUAUGUAGCGGAUUAUAUGCGCACAAUGCAGCAUCAGUUGCCUCCGAUGCCGUACGCACCUCCGCCCGGUUUUCCGGGAAUGCCUAUGCCCUACGAGGGACUACCUCCACCACCGCGUUACUACGAAGGUUUGCCAAUUCCGGAAUAUCCUUUCCCACCGGGGGCUAUCCCGGGAAGUGUAACUGGAGCAGCUGGUGUCCAACCACCCCGCAGUAAUCCGUACGAUAAGUAUGAUGAGUUUAUGUGGAAGCCCCCGCAGAGUGGUGCCCCUGCAACGGCAGCGGUACCUACCUCAACCGCGAGCACUGCCGGGCUGCCAUCGAUGAAAGGUCCCCCUCCACCGUUACCGAAUUAUCACGUUCCACCUCCACUGACUCACCUGUCCUCGGCCGGUGGCAGUGGUCCGUCUUAUGGGCGCAAAAACGACCGAGUUGACGGUGGUGAUGGUCGUGGACAGCGUGAUCGGGACCGGAACCAUCGGAACGAUCGUAGUCAUCGGGGAGGUCGCGGAUAUAAUCACAGGGAUAGAAGAUGAUCGGAAGGGUAUUGUUUACUAACUCCACCAGUGUUUACCGAGUGAUGAUGACAGAAGUAUGCUAAACAGUCGUUGGGCGAUGCGUAUCAGAUAGAAGAUGCCGAAGUGGAAUGAGAAAUGAUGAAAACCGCCUUCUGAGGCGACGACUAGACGAGAUGCCUCCUGUGUUAUGUAUGGAUGAAAUAAAGAAAAAAACUCACCAAUGUAAUGAGCCAUCUCGUCCAGGAAUACAGAGGGCGGCUUUGAUACAUCUUCGCCGUAUCGGAUUCCCACUGACAGGUUCCGCUAGACAAAGUCAGUAGCGCAACCCGCACAUACAUCCCGUGAAACCUAUUUAUUAGAAAUGAAAAAAUGUCGCCGAUAUAAAUCUAGCACAUGCAGUUACUACAAACUUGAUUACUGUGUCAUUCGGUUUUCUUUUUCGUCGAAGUAAAAAGGAAAAUGACGAAAUGUGAUUGAUAAGCUCAUCGUUAUCGCCAGGAGAAACAGAAGCAUGUUUCCGCCGGAACGCCGUGGAGCGUGCUUCACCCAUCAUCGACGCAUCAGCAGAAUCUUCAUUAGUUAUCCAGCUAGCCAAUAAUAACCGUCACUCACCAGAGACUCCGUUGUCCCCACCUUCGUGAAUGGCAGUGAAGAAAUGUGUGAUCUCUCUCUCACCGUGUGCAGACUGUGAAAAAAACGGAAGAAAAUAGUGCUUUUGUUUGUCCAUUUUGCAUUUGCCCCCCCCCGCAUCGUAUCCCAUUUCUACCGAAACAACAGAAAAAUACGUGAAUCAAACAAAACCAACGUCGUUCUCUUCUAAUGCGAAUGACGCUCGACGGAUCCUCUUAACGGACUUAGGCUUUAGUUUGUGUGGUCUUUUUGCGAAGAAAAGUGAUUUUCGCCGAAAUAUGGAUUUUGUUCUAGAGCGAAACGAAAAGAUGAAUGUAAGAGUUUGGGAAGGACUUCUUUGCACAGAUUGCAGAGGAUAAACGUAAUCUGUUCUAUAUUGAAAAAAAGUAUUCUCACGCUGAUAAGAAAAAUAUAUUUGUGAUUGUCUAUCGACGAGUAGCAGCAAAGGACAUAAGUGUAUCGAUCGUGUCUCGGUGGAAGAAAACAGUGUGUUUACAGACAAUCGAAGAAAUAAAAAUACAAAAAGUGUAACCGUGUUUAGAGGAUUAAAAAGCAAACAAAACAAAUCUACAAUUAUUACUAUUGCUAGAAUGCUACUAGAUAUUUACCUACACUAUAUAAAAGAAUACAUAACUAUUAUGUAUCGACAGGCAAAGCAAACAGAACGAAAAUGAAAUUUAAAUUAUGAACUUUUACUAGUAAUCCAAUAAAGGUUUAGCAACAACCAAACCAAAACCGAGUGAGAUGAACUUUCUGCCAGAUAAGUGUGGUGCAAUCUAAACAGCAUCGUAGUUAUAAUUUGAUGGUGAGCCUCGUUCCUCCCCUCGCUGUGUGUUAGCAACGGCGCUGAAUGCCGAAACAUGUGAUAUACCGAAACCUUCUUUUCGAAAGGACUUUUUAAAGCGCAACCCAAACUGCAAAACCAAACCAAAAGCCUUCCACCAACUGGGAGAAAAAUCACUUUUAAGAGGAUACCGAAAUUCUCCAAUCGAAAAAGCGAAAAAUAGUUGUGAUAUACAAAAUAGAGAAUACGACUGAGUGUGGUGAAAUUUUAAAAGACUCUUCCAUAGCUAUUACUGAAUGGGACUGAUUUUCAUAAAAUCGCAGCGAAAUGUGUUACGUAUUUAUAGAUGUGACUAGUUCGAAGCUUAUUCAAACCAAAAAAAAAACGAAAACAAAGACUGCAUUUAUUUACACUAGCGGAAGCCUUAUGUUAUGCGAAUGCUACUGAGAGAGCCAAGCAAACAGUAUUUUUGGAUUCCAUGAAUCCCACGCAGUUUCCUUCCCGGAAGCAGCAAACUCUGGCGCUUUUCAAAAGCACCGCAACAACUGGACUGAUGAACAGAACCGAGCGUUAGCUUUCUACGAACAGUCGGGAGAUGGCUCGUCCCAAAACCGUCGGAAAUGGAAAUGGCAAGUGUGUGUAUGUGUGAAGCGUGACCAAUCCUAUCCGCGCUUGCGGAUACGGAGUCCUGAUGACAGCAGCACUAUGGUUCAAUCUUUUUGACCGAGAACAGAAUAAAAUCGAAAUGCUAUUUAUUAUGUUAUUUAAAGAUGAAA